RNAcentral lists this long non-coding RNA (336 nucleotides) under Ananas comosus (pineapple). RNAcentral's name for it is "long non-coding RNA (ACOM_LNC001995)". Lineage: Eukaryota; Viridiplantae; Streptophyta; Magnoliopsida; Poales; Bromeliaceae. The record is from RNAcentral.
GGAAGAUGUAGUGUCCCUGGGGUUUAGCUGUGCGAGUGACUGCAGCAUUUGUGGCUGGUCGACAUGUCUGGAGAGUGUCGGGACGAGUUGAAGUCGUUUUGGUACGAAAUUGACGCGAAAAUUUAGCAACAUUUUUUAAAAGUGUCGGUAAUUUAGCUAGCAGUAUUUUUUUUUAUCUAUACCGACAUUUAAAAAUAUCGCUAUAGACCAUUUUUGUUGUAGUGCAAAUUUAAUAGUUUUAAUCAUCUUUAUCAAAUAAAUUUAAAACAAUUAGUAGUUAAUAACUAUUAAAGCCGCAACAUUUAAUAACCCUUUUACUGAACUAAAUAAAACAAC